GCUGGCGGCAGGCCUAAUACAUGCAAGUCGAACGGCAGCACAGCAGAGCUUGCUCUGUGGGUGGCGAGUGGCGGACGGGUGAGGAAUACAUGGGAAUCUGCCCAGUCGUGGGGGAUAACGUAUGGAAACGUACGCUAAUACCGCAUGCGCCCUUCGGGGGAAAGCCGGGGAUCUUCGGACCUGGCGCGAUUGGAUGAGCCCAUGUCGGAUUAGCUAGUUGGCGGGGUAAAAGCCCACCAAGGCUACGAUCCGUAGCUGGUCUGAGAGGAUGAUCAGCCACACUGGAACUGAGAUACGGUCCAGACUCCUACGGGAGGCCGCAGUAGGGAAUAUUGGACAAUGGGCGCAAGCCUGAUCCAGCCAUGCCGCGUGUGUGAAGAAGGCCUUCGGGUUGUAAAGCACUUUUAUCCGGAAAGAAAAGCGCUGGGUUAAUACCCUGGUGUUCUGACGGUACCGGAAGAAUAAGCACCGGCUAACUUCGUGCCAGCAGCCGCGGUAAUACGAAGGGUGCAAGCGUUACUCGGAAUUACUGGGCGUAAAGCGUGCGUAGGUGGUUUGUUAAGUCUGAUGUGAAAGCCCUGGGGCUCAACCCUGGGGAU
RNAcentral lists this ribosomal RNA (599 nucleotides) under uncultured Lysobacterales bacterium. Its description in RNAcentral is "bacterial SSU rRNA". It matches the Rfam family "Bacterial small subunit ribosomal RNA", at positions 35 to 622 of the family's 1533-position model. Lineage: Bacteria; Pseudomonadati; Pseudomonadota; Gammaproteobacteria; Lysobacterales. The record is from RNAcentral.